RNAcentral lists this ribosomal RNA (497 nucleotides) under uncultured bacterium. RNAcentral's name for it is "partial 16S ribosomal RNA". It matches the Rfam family "Bacterial small subunit ribosomal RNA", at positions 28 to 507 of the family's 1533-position model. The record is from RNAcentral.
GAUGAACGCUGGCGGCGUGCCUAAUACAUGCAAGUCGAGCGAACGGACGAGAAGCUUGCUUCUCUGAUGUUAGCGGCGGACGGGUGAGUAACACGUGGAUAACCUACCUAUAAGACUGGGAUAACUUCGGGAAACCGUAGCUAAUACCGGAUAAUAUUUUGAACCGCAUGGUUCAAAAGUGAAAGACGUUCUUGCUGUCACUUAUAGAUGGAUCCGCGCUGCAUUAGCUAGUUGGUAAGGUAACGGCUUACCAAGGCAACGAUGCAUAGCCGACCUGAGAGGGUGACCAGCCACACUGGAACUGAGACACGGCCCAGACUCCUACGGGAGGCAGCAGUAGGGAAUCUUCGGCAAUGGGCGAAAGCCUGACGGAGCAACGCCGCGUGAGUGAUGAAGGUCUUCGGAUCGUAAAACUCUGUUAUUAGGGAAGAAAAUAUGUGUAAGUAACUGUGCACAUCUUGACGGUACCUAAUCAGAAAGCAACGGCUAACUACGUG